GUUCUAUGGCAUCUCCUUACCAGACUGAUGGGGUAAAGUUUCCAUCUUCCCCACCUGCCCCCCACCUACACACCCACACCCACAUCACACAUCCUGCUUCCACCUGCUCUUUGCCCAGAUUAAGAUUAGCCCAUCCUCCCUCAUUCCUCCACACCCUCUGCCUCUGAUCCUCCCAGUGUCCCUGGCCCGUCCAGCCUCCCCACCCUAUACAAAUACACCUGAAGUUAGACGGAGCCUCAGGCUUACUCCCGCUCCUUGCUCUGUGCUCUCAGGUGUUCCUUUUGUCACUCCCUGUGCUUGCUGUAUCAGGAUGGAGUCAGGUCCGAAGGGGCACUGCCAUGGUGGUGGCCAUGGCCCGGGGCCCUGUUGUGGGGAAAGGCACCCCCCUGGCCAUGGCCCUGGGCACUGUCCUGGGGGGAGCCACUGCCCAGGGCCCUGUGGGCACCCCCCUGGCCAUGGCCCAGGGCACUGUCCUGGGGGAAGCCACCCCCCAAGGCCCUGUGGGCACCCCCCUGGCCAUGACCCAGGGCACUGUCCUGGGGGAAGCCACCCCCCAGGGCCCUGUGGGCCCCAACCUGGUCCACCUCACUAAGGAAGCAGAAGAAAGAGGAUACAAGAAUGGGGAGUGUGAGUGGGUUGCCCUGCUGACCUGGCAUGGAGCCUGAACCAGAAUCUCCUCUUUCUAAUAAACAGCCUCCCAGAAGCCAUGUUUUACUCUUAAA
This is a long non-coding RNA of Leopardus geoffroyi (Geoffroy's cat), 722 nucleotides long. RefSeq lists it as uncharacterized. Lineage: Eukaryota; Metazoa; Chordata; Mammalia; Carnivora; Felidae. The record is from RefSeq and is a predicted model, not a curated record. The transcript has 4 exons.